This 254-nucleotide ribosomal RNA is filed under the name uncultured bacterium. RNAcentral's name for it is "partial 16S ribosomal RNA". It matches the Rfam family "Bacterial small subunit ribosomal RNA", at positions 524 to 777 of the family's 1533-position model. The record is from RNAcentral.
UACGUAGGGAGCAAGCGUUGUCCGGAAUCAUUGGGCGUAAAGCGCGCGUAGGCGGCCCCGUAAGUCCGCUGUGAAAGUCAAAGGCUCAACCUUUGAAAGCCGGUGGAUACUGUGGGGCUAGAGUCCGGAAGAGGCGAGUGGAAUUCCUGGUGUAGCGGUGGAAUGCGCAGAUAUCAGGAGGAACACCGAUGGCGAAGGCAGGUCUCUGGGCCAUAACUGACGCUGAGAAGCGAAAGCAUGGGGAGCGAACAGGA